This is a non-coding RNA of Triticum aestivum (bread wheat), 135 nucleotides long. The record is from Rfam. Lineage: Eukaryota; Viridiplantae; Streptophyta; Magnoliopsida; Poales; Poaceae.
AAAGUACUCCCUCCGUCCCAAAAUUCUUGUCUUAGAUUUGUCUAGAUACGGAUGUAUCAAGUCACAUUUUAGUAUUAGAUACAUCCGUAUCUAGACAAAUCUAAGACAAGAAAUUUGGGACAGAUGGAGUAGUUG